RNAcentral lists this transfer RNA (68 nucleotides) under human gut metagenome. It matches the Rfam family "tRNA". Rfam says of the family: Transfer RNA (tRNA) molecules are approximately 80 nucleotides in length. Their secondary structure includes four short double-helical elements and three loops (D, anti-codon, and T loops). Further hydrogen bonds mediate the characteristic L-shaped molecular structure. tRNAs have two regions of fundamental functional importance: the anti-codon, which is responsible for specific mRNA codon recognition, and the 3' end, to which the tRNAs corresponding amino acid is attached (by aminoacyl-tRNA synthetases). tRNAs cope with the degeneracy of the genetic code in two manners: having more than one tRNA (with a specific anti-codon) for a particular amino acid; and 'wobble' base-pairing, i.e. permitting non-standard base-pairing at the 3rd anti-codon position. The record is from RNAcentral. RNAcentral also lists the same sequence under 2 other names.
UGGUAUAGCUCAAUUGGCAGAGCAGCUGAUUUGUAAUCAGCAGGUUGUAGGUUCAAGUCCUAUUACCA